GAGAAGAGUCAAGAGACAUAGAAAUUGCUAACUAUCUUUAACUAAGGUUAAAUUCCUUAGUCUACUCA
RNAcentral lists this transfer RNA (68 nucleotides) under Hynobius chinensis (Chinese salamander). Its description in RNAcentral is "tRNA-Ser". The record is from RNAcentral. RNAcentral also lists the same sequence under 1 other name. Lineage: Eukaryota; Metazoa; Chordata; Amphibia; Caudata; Hynobiidae.